Molecule: ribosomal RNA, 504 nt
Filed under: uncultured bacterium
Lineage: Bacteria
Description: partial 16S ribosomal RNA
Rfam family: Bacterial small subunit ribosomal RNA
Source: RNAcentral
AUUGAACGCUGGCGGCAGGCCUAACACAUGCAAGUCGGACGGUAGCACAGAGAGCUUGCUCUCGGGUGACGAGUGGCGGACGGGUGAGUAAUGUCUGGGGAUCUGCCCGAUAGAGGGGGAUAACCACUGGAAACGGUGGCUAAUACCGCAUAACGUCGCCAGACCAAAGAGGGGGACCUUCGGGCCUCUCACUAUCGGAUGAACCCAGAUGGGAUUAGCUAGUAGGCGGGGUAACGGCCCACCUAGGCGACGAUCCCUAGCUGGUCUGAGAGGAUGACCAGCCACACUGGAACUGAGACACGGUCCAGACUCCUACGGGAGGCAGCAGUGGGGAAUAUUGCACAAUGGGCGCAAGCCUGAUGCAGCCAUGCCGCGUGUAUGAAGAAGGCCUUCGGGUUGUAAAGUACUUUCAGCGGGGAGGAAGGCGAUGUGGUUAAUAACCGCGGCGAUUGAUGUUACCCGCAGAAGAAGCACCGGCUAACUCCGUGCCAGCAGCCGCGGUAA